UCUGUUCUCUUCCGCCUAAUGAGAGCAAACAUUUUCCGUACCAACUCUCGCACUGGGAGAAGGCAAAGAGACUGUGCACUCAAGCAAGACUUUCCAAGCCAGUAAAUGAUUGUUAAUGGGGACAGCUUUUGACAGGCAAAGGACGCGGUUUCACUUCCGGGGAAUCGCCCUCGCUGAUUGGCCAAGAUGGCGACCCGACCGCGACGCGUCGUAGCUGAGUGGGCGGGGCCAUGGGAGCGUGACGUCACCUUGAAAGCUAUGACGAUGAGUCUGCAGCACGUGUGGGAGAUAGAGGCUCAGGGCAGAACACAACAGCCGGAACAUGAGCCAUGAUCACCAAAACAAUGAUUCUGCUGAGGCUGCUUGGGACCGUGUAUGCUUUAUUGAGGAAAACGUAGCCCUCGAUAUCCUUACACAGAGCACAACUGCUCCUUACAGGUUUCCCGGAUCGACUCUGCUCCAGGAAGGAAAUAACGUUGUGGCACCCAAUUCCCAAAACUCUUCCCACCCACUUUCCUCACCUUAAUGUUAUUUUCCACAUAGUUGAGUAAAACUAAAGACAUUUAAGCUUAUGUAAUGCAGUAUUUCAAUUUCAUUAAUGUCACCUAUUUUACAAAAUUAAUUAAAAUUAAUAGAGUUUAAGAGAGUAACACCUCUGAGAAUUAGGUAACAAGUGUGGUUGUUUCUACUGACACAGUGCUGGCUAUAGAAGUGUCUACAUCUUCUUGGGAUGAGAACACUUAUUGUUUUAAAUAUUUUAGAAAUUUUCCCAAAUUGGUGAAAUUCUUUCUGAAGCUUUGGUUAUUUUCUGUCUUUUUAAUGAGAAAAGUGUUUUCCCACAAUGUUUGGGGAAGGGAGGAAUAAACUACAGGAGACUAUGUCUUUAAAAGAUACAAGCAGAGAGAGAUGAGACAGAAAAAGAUCAUAAAUGCUCCCUAAUUCUUCUUUGCAAGUGGUGUUACCACUACACUUCUCUUUUCAACAUUGGGCAAGGAAACAAAUAAAUGUCAACCUCCCUCAGUCCCCCAGUGAUUCCAAGGCUUUGACUUAGAAAGAAGGAAUCUUCUAACUACUCUGGCACAGCAAUGACUUUGAGUGCUCAAGGCUUGGAGGUGGCAGGACUGGGGGGAGAAAGAUGCAAAAGAUAUUUUUGCUGUCCCUUCUCCUCAGUAAACAGCUAUGUGCCUCACUGGAAAUAAACAGAAUUUUCUUUCUUGCCAAACAAAUGAACAAAAUUAAGCCCCUGCCCUUCACUUCAGCAAACAAGAGCAAAUAACCUCAAGAUGUAAAGUGUCAUCUUUGUUCACAUGACAUCCUCCUUUUGGAACAGCAGCCCUCUAAAAGGAGAGCACAAGCAUACCUUGAGUCAACCUCCAGGAGAGCAAGGCACUCGGACAGAAAAGUGGGAGUAAAAAUCCUUGAGCCAAAUGUAUACCAGAGAACAAUGGGCCAGUUCACAAAGUUGUUUUUAAAAUUAAGAGGUGGCUUGUAUUUGCAUGUAAAGUAUUUGUUAGCAGUGUAUCUUUCACAGAAGAGACAGAACACAGGGCUAAUACCCUGAAAGAUUCCCAAUGGAAAAAUAUUUUGAGGUUUCCAGUCCUUGGAGCCUUUACUGUUUUUUUCUUUCCCAUACAUUUCACAUUUGCUGAAGUUUGCUUAAAAUACAAAGAAGAAAAAAAAUGCAACAGAGAAUUAUUUUGUCCUCAUUACCUUAUAGCAGUUUGUGCUCGGAAUCUCUUACCUUUAAUGGCCUGAUAUUUUCCCCCAACAUAAAUUAAGCACAGGGAUAGCUCAGCAAACUGUGCCUGCAGAUUUCCAAAGGAAGGUAAGUAACCUUCCAGCACAUGUCACUCCACACAGAGAACAAGGAGGGGAAAAUAACCCAGAAACUCCAAAGAAACACCCAACAUGCCUUGCCUUGUUCUUCCAUUAAAUGGAAUAUGUAAGAGAUGGAAAACAAUUGUUUCCCUCAACUUAGACACAACUGCUGGUUGCAUCUCUUGAGAGCACCCCCAGGAACUGCAGGCUGCUCUCCUAAAGCUUGCGCAUCUUAAUUUUCUUGUUCCCUCCCUCUACAUGCAGCCAGAAGCUCUCCUUUUUCAGUUUGCAACCGCAGCUGCCCUCCAGCCCCCUGGCUCUGACUGCACCUCCCUGUUGCUUCAUACCCACCUGCCCCUGGCCAGCAUUUCCGUGCCUGGCCCUCCUGGCACGUCCUGUCCUGCUCCUCAAGGUCAGUGGGGUGCUCCUGCUCCACCUGCGAGGGAAGCACCUGGCUGUGCUGCUCCUCCUCCCAGCAGGUCACUUCUCAUUUGGGAAGGAAUCGAGCCCCGUGCUGAAAACAGACCUUCCCUCUCCUCCUGUCAAACAGCAGAGCUCCUGGAUGGCACUGAUUAAUUUCUCAGUUAAAGACCUAAGAAUUUCACACUUGCAGAGCAGAGCUCAGUCCAGGCAGAGCUGCUCUGCUCUUCUAAAGAAGGAGAAUAAAAAUGCACUGUUUUAGCAACCAGCUAGGUCAGACUUCUUGGAAAUCCAGUGUGUUUAUAUUUAAGUUUUGUUUCCAUUAUGGAGCUUUUAGAAUAACAGAUAAUGAACUAUCUACCUUCCUGUAGUAUGGAAAGGAAUGAGUCCCAGCUGCAUAACUGCUCUCAAACUCUUGUUGCAUACAGCAUUUCUUUUUGCAGCAGCCUGGUUACAGCUAUAGGUCUGUGACCUGAUUCUCAUUUCUUUUUCUAAGAGCAUUAAACCUUCCUAGAGCCUGAAAGGCUUUUAGGUAAUCAGCAGCCAACUGUACAAAUGUAGAGUUAAACUUUCUCAGGGUUAACACAGCACCUUAAUAAAUGAGUCAGUUCUUAAACUCAGUUCCAGCACCCACUGAUGAACUCCUGACAGCAAAGGGAAGACUGCUGAGAAAUGCUAAUGGUAAAAACAAUGAAAUGGAGCAUUAAAAGGAAAAAGUAAGUUGCCUUUUUUAGCAGUUUCAGUUCAAGGUGAUACAGGAACACAUAGCAGGAAAGGUCAUUAAAUGAAAAUGGUGAAGCCAUUUUGCAGGUUUACCUCUUUUCUAGGGCAUUUUACCAGAUGAUCAUAACAUGAGACAGUGACAAAUGCAUUCCAGCUGACAUAAGAUAUGUGGGUCAUGCUGACUUUGCAACAUUAUAAACCACUAUUGGGGAUAACACAGCUUCUCUGUGAGGUAAUUUACCUUCUUUGGAUGAAAAGAUAAAUGUGAAUUAACAGGGAAGAGACUGAAACAUCUGAGCUGUGUUAUUGAUCUACUAAGGACCUAGAUAAGUCACAGAGAAACUAAUGCUUGCUUUGCUUGAGAUUAGUGAUGGAUGGGACAGCAGAUUUAGGAGCUAAGGGGCUAUCACUGUCAACAAAGCCUUAGUACUAAUUUUUUUUUUUUAAUUAUCCUGGAGUAGUAGGGAAAAUAUGCCCCAUAGCAGCAGUAGGCAGAAGCAAUCUUUUACUCAUGACAUUGUGGACUCUAAACUAAAAUAUUACAAGGAACAAAAAUACUCAGUGCUUCAAAUGUAUUCAACUGUUCUCAUCUGUUUCUGAUGAGACAAAUGUGGGUUUAAUAAAUAUUUAGUUGUAGGACUCCAUUUUCUGAGGGGAAGCAUAUAAGUACUUUCUGCUGAGAAU
Molecule: long non-coding RNA, 3645 nt
Organism: Passer domesticus (house sparrow)
Lineage: Eukaryota; Metazoa; Chordata; Aves; Passeriformes; Passeridae
Exons: 3
Source: RefSeq, a predicted model, not a curated record